This is a long non-coding RNA of Zonotrichia leucophrys gambelii, 1798 nucleotides long. RefSeq lists it as uncharacterized. The record is from RefSeq and is a predicted model, not a curated record. NCBI's taxonomy places the organism in Eukaryota, Metazoa, Chordata, Aves, Passeriformes, Passerellidae. The transcript is spliced from 3 exons.
UGCUUCCUGGGAAAUUAUGCUGUCCCUUCACCUUUCUUUCUUUAUAGAAAACCAACUAGAUAUUUAAACAGCUAUUUAAUAUGCCUAUCAUCAUGGAAAGUCAUAGGAACAAAGAAGGCCCAGCAGAUAUGGCAAGAAGAAAAGACUGCACUAAAAAAUUUCUGGCUGGGCUCACAGAAUGGAGCCAGCAGGGAGAUACCAGAGCAUGUGGGAUGUCUGCAGAUGAGGGAUUUCGAGCUAAGUUGCUGAGAUUGUUUCUAAACAUCUUUAUUCCUGGGAUGCAGAAACCUUUCAAGUUACACUUUGCAAAACUAUCUUUUGAAGUUAUGCUUUGAUAACAUUCAAGCCAGUGCAACUGAGACUGGCAGAAAACUCUCAAAAGCAGGAGGACACCCACAAAAACUAGACUGAAAUUCAUCAGAACUUGAAAAUGAAAAAAUUAAUGAAAAUGGCCUUUUUUUCUUGUCUUCUGGCUACGAACAACAUCAGUUGGAAGAAAAGUGUGAGUUCUGGAAAGAAAUGAGCAACCAGGUCAAGUGAAUUUUUACCAUAUGUAAUUAAGUUAUUACUUCAAACUGAUGUGCUCUCUGCCAGAGAGAUCUAAAAGUUUGGGAUGCAUGAAGAAACUGAAGAAAGUGAUGAUAGAGUCCUCACCCUGUGCUUCCUUAGGUUGGAGACUUGCCUCUGAUGUCCAUUUUUGUAGUGUCAGUCCCUAGAGAUGUGACUGAGAGCAAGCUGAAAGUGUUGCAGCUGCCUAAAAAUAAUUCCUAGCCAAAGGCUGACCAAUGAGUUUAUUGAAGUGGUGAGAUCCAAGCAAUGCCUGCAGUACUUCUCAGCCUUUAGGAGAAUAUCAGCUUCCCAUCUCUAAACCCCUUCUUAGCUUACCCCAUUCAGAAAAUUUUGUCUUAAAUAUAGGUAGCUUUGGACAAGUGGAAAUCAACACUUUGUGUUUGGAACUGGGGCUGGAUAAUGACAGUAAGCCUGAUGAGAGAUUCUGUAAAGCUGUGCAGCUUUACAGCCAGAGGCAGUGGGAUGAAAUUAGAGUGACAAAAAGUAAGCUGCAGACCAUAGAAGUAUCAGACUGGAACUUGGGUGCCUGUGUGAAAUGGUGGAAGGUCUGCUCCCUGUGAUCCUUGGUACUGUAGUGAGCUAAACUUGAAUUUCCUAGGAAUUGCCUUUUAUUGUAGGGAAUGCAGGAUCAGCAAAGCUUUGGCUGAGAUGACAGCAUAAGCUUUUGCAAUAUAUAUUUACAAUACUUAUAUGAAAUAAGCCAUAGAAUAAAUGAGGAGAGGAAAGAAAAUAAAAAAUUGCAUGUUUGGAAAGUGGAAUCUCUCUCAUGCAGUAUUUCCAGACUUGGUGCAAAGAUGUGUCAGUAGGAUAUUUACCUCUUUUCUAGUUAAAUGUAAAAGUUUUUCCUCAUUGCAAGCUAGCAAAGGACAGGUGCAUCCCAAUCAGUUCUCUUUCCCUACAUUUUACAAGGAAAUUCAGGAAUAUUUUGCUGCUCCACUUCCUCUUUUAUAUUGUGCAAUCUCCAGGAUUGCAAAAUACCUGGAGGUACUUCUAGCACUUGUUAAUAAGAGAUCUUAAAAUAGGAUCUGGAGUCAGCACUUUCACCACAUUCUUUCAAGUGUCACACAAAAUAUUCACUAAAUAAUUAAUUCAGCAGUUGGCAUCAUGUCACAAACAGUUGUGAAUAUGCAAGAAUAUGUUGGCAAAGUGAUAAUUUGGAUUUAAAAAUCUCACUGUAAAUAUUUCUGAAAAGGGAAGUCUUUAUGCAAUAAAUAGGAGUAUAAAAAAA